Molecule: long non-coding RNA, 480 nt
Organism: Centropristis striata (black sea bass)
Lineage: Eukaryota; Metazoa; Chordata; Actinopteri; Perciformes; Serranidae
Exons: 3
Source: RefSeq, a predicted model, not a curated record
CUGGCCACAGAAGACUCUGUGACAUCAAAGAGGAGUUCUAUAGGAUUGCAGGUGAGAAAAUCUACAAAUUACAGGACAACUGUUACCAGUCAUAGUAGGAUACUCAUUACUUUGUGUUACAGGUUUCCCCAAUGUCACUGGUGCACUGGACUGCACACACCUCAGCAUAAGAUCCCCCCCAGGAGCCCAUGAGGUGGAUUUUGUGAAUAGGAAAUAAUUUCACAGCAUUAAUGUUCAGAUGGUCUGCAAUGCUGACUGUCUGAUCAACAGACAUGGACUGAGCCAGGCAAAAUGGCCUCAGUCCAUGACUCCAGAGUCUUUGGGACCUCUGAAAUCUCUAUCACAAGGUGAAUUGUCUGGUGUGUUGCUGGGAGACAGGGGGUCUGCCUGCCAGCCUUUUCUCCUGACACCAUUCACAGACCCCCAGGAAGCACAGCAGGCCUACAAUCAUGCCCAUGACAGGGCCAGGACCAGGACCAG